RNAcentral lists this long non-coding RNA (275 nucleotides) under Pan troglodytes (chimpanzee). RNAcentral's name for it is "long non-coding RNA NONPTRT015876". Lineage: Eukaryota; Metazoa; Chordata; Mammalia; Primates; Hominidae. The record is from RNAcentral.
CCAGGCUUCUCCAUCGAGGGGCCCUCACAAGCCAAGAUCGAAUGUGACGACAAGGGGGAUGGCUCCUGCGAUGUGCGGUACUGGCCCACGGAGCCCGGGGAGUACGCUGUGCACGUCAUCUGUGACGAUGAGGACAUCCGAGACUCACCCUUCAUUGCCCACAUCCUGCCCGCCCCACCUGACUGCUUCCCAGAUAAGGUGAAGGCCUUUGGGCCUGGCCUGGAGCCUACCGGCUGCAUCGUGGACAAGCCCGCUGAGUUCACCAUUGAUGCUCG